This 401-nucleotide ribosomal RNA is filed under the name uncultured bacterium. RNAcentral's name for it is "bacterial SSU rRNA". It matches the Rfam family "Bacterial small subunit ribosomal RNA", at positions 355 to 774 of the family's 1533-position model. The record is from RNAcentral.
UGGGGAAUAUUGGACAAUGGGCGCAAGCCUGAUCCAGCCAUGCCGCGUGAGUGACGAAGGCCUUAGGGUUGUAAAGCUCUUUUGGCGGGGAAGAUAAUGACGGUACCCGCAGAAUAAGCUCCGGCUACUUCGUGCCAGCAGCCGCGGUAAUACGAAGGGAGCUAGCGUUGUUCGGAAUCACUGGGCGUAAAGCGCACGUAGGCGGACUUUCAAGUCAGGGGUGAAAUCCCGGGGCUCAACCUCGGAACUGCCCUUGAUACUGUUGGUCUCGAGUCCGGAAGAGGUGAGUGGAAUUCCUAGUGUAGAGGUGAAAUUCGUAGAUAUUAGGAAGAACACCGGUGGCGAAGGCGGCUCACUGGUCCGGUACUGACGCUGAGGUGCGAAAGCGUGGGGAGCAAACA